CUGCAUGUUUAUCCAAGAGCUGUGGUUCUGUGCUGUAGCUGCAGGUCUCCAACAACAUGCAAGAGCAACGGGAAGGUCUUUGACUGCUUGGCCUCUUCUGCCUGGUGCUGUCACUCACCCCUCCUAUAUAA
Calypte anna (Anna's hummingbird) is the source of this 131-nucleotide non-coding RNA. The record is from Rfam. Lineage: Eukaryota; Metazoa; Chordata; Aves; Apodiformes; Trochilidae.